RNAcentral lists this long non-coding RNA (890 nucleotides) under Homo sapiens (human). Its description in RNAcentral is "non-protein coding lnc-OPRK1-3:9". The record is from RNAcentral. Lineage: Eukaryota; Metazoa; Chordata; Mammalia; Primates; Hominidae.
AAGCCAGUUGUACAGGAACUGCCAAAGGCAACAGAAAUUCUUUCUCCCUAUGUCCCAGCCUACCCCCACUUUACCGAGGCCAACAGCCGCCUCAGAAACCAGAUUCAGGAGCUAACAUGCCCCAGGUCUCACGAGGAUCAGAGACUCCAGAGGCCAGGGAAGGAGAUCAAGGUAGUCAAGCGGGGGUCGUCUCAGAUCUGGUUGUGCUCGAGCUAUGCAAAUGCCUCUCACGGAGAUGCGAGGACCUAUCUAUUAUGAUGACCAGGGCCACAUCCGGAGGGGGCAACAGACUUUCAUCUAUCAGCCCUUUUCAACCACUGAUCUACUAAACUGGAAACACUCUGAACCCUGCCAUCUUGCUCCUGGUAUCAGAGAGCCCUGUCGUGCAUAACUGUGUAGAAGUGUUGGACUCGGUUUACUCCAGCAGACCUGAUCUCCGGGACCAGCCUUGGGCAUCAGUAGACUGGAAGCUAUAUGUGGACAGGAGCAGCUUCAUCAACCCACAAGGAGAGAGAUGUGCGGGAUAUGUGGUGGAACCCUGGACACUGUCGUUGAAGCCAGAUCGUUGCUCCAAGGCACUUCAGCCCAGAAAGAUGAGCUCAUUGCUUUAAUUUGGGCCUUAGAACUCAGUUAAGGCCUUCUACGGUCCCAGGCUUUCUGCUGCAUACACUGAAGGGCCACGAAGUACAGUCAUCUGGACUUGGCACCUGGAAUACAAGGAUGGAAAGCAUCAUUUCUGCCAGCUUCUUAUGGUCCUGAGGCGAGACAGUCAUGAGAGAGGAAAACUGCAAUGACUUCUGACCACUGCCAGCCUCGCUUCCUGCAUUUUCUUCUUCGGCUUACUCUUGCCAAGUUGGAGUUGCCUAACUUCCAAGAGGACAUCUGCAAUG